RNAcentral lists this ribosomal RNA (324 nucleotides) under uncultured Cercomonas. RNAcentral describes it as "SSU rRNA". The stretch from base 34 to 324 matches the Rfam family "Eukaryotic small subunit ribosomal RNA", at positions 663 to 955 of the family's 1831-position model. Lineage: Eukaryota; Cercozoa; Cercomonadida; Cercomonadidae. The record is from RNAcentral.
GAUUUCUGGUUCGGCGCACUUGGCCCGUCUCGGUUUACGAGAUUGUGUGCCGGUGUGCGCCAUCCAUCCUUCGAUGAAAACAUUUCUACCCUUCAUUGGGUUGGGAGUGCUAUCUCGAUCUUUUACUUUGAAAAAAUUAGAGUGUUUAAAGCAGGCUUGCGCUAUGAAUACAUUAGCAUGGAAUAAUAAUUUAGGACUUUGGUCUUAUUUUGUUGGUUUCUAGGACUAAAGUAAUGAUUGAUAGGGACAGUUGGGGGUGCUAGUAUUCCGCGGCCAGAGGUGAAAUUCUUGGAUUCGCGGAAGACUAACUACUGCGAAAGCAUU